GGUGUAGCUCAGUGGUAGAGUACCAGAUUGAAACGUUGGAAGCACUGGGUUCAAUCCCCAGCAUC
This 65-nucleotide transfer RNA is filed under the name Ictidomys tridecemlineatus (thirteen-lined ground squirrel). Its description in RNAcentral is "Spermophilus tridecemlineatus (thirteen-lined ground squirrel) tRNA". It matches the Rfam family "tRNA". From Rfam's summary of the family: Transfer RNA (tRNA) molecules are approximately 80 nucleotides in length. Their secondary structure includes four short double-helical elements and three loops (D, anti-codon, and T loops). Lineage: Eukaryota; Metazoa; Chordata; Mammalia; Rodentia; Sciuridae. The record is from Rfam by way of RNAcentral.